UAAAAGUCCAGCCAUAAUAAUAAAUCUAGCUGUUUGUUAGUCUUUUCAUGAUUUCAUUUUGCUUCAACAUAAGGCCUCCACAAGUACAGGGCAUGAUUGGGUGCAAUUGGUCCAAUCACCUCAGAUCCGGUGCUGGGGCCCAUUACCUGAUUACUUCAAUCUCCUUAUCUCACUUCACUGGACUUUUUUCUCUGGGAUAUUUGUGGGAGAGAGUGUAUGACAUUCUUGUGACAAAAGUAAAAGAUCUUCAAAACCAUAUCAUUACUACUUGUGAAAAGAUUUCUACUGACACUCUAAAGGCUGUGAGGAACUCCAUUCGACAUCAUGCUCAACUGUACU
This 339-nucleotide long non-coding RNA is filed under the name Androctonus crassicauda. Lineage: Eukaryota; Metazoa; Arthropoda; Arachnida; Scorpiones; Buthidae. The record is from RNAcentral.